Molecule: RNA transcript, 3633 nt
Organism: Erigeron canadensis
Lineage: Eukaryota; Viridiplantae; Streptophyta; Magnoliopsida; Asterales; Asteraceae
Exons: 12
Source: RefSeq, a predicted model, not a curated record
AGUUGGUCGGUCUGGUCUGUGCUGGUUUGGGAAACGGUAAGGAGAACAGUCACAGGCUCGGAAAAUCCCAUUUCUAAAGCUCAACCUCAGCCUCAGAUGGGAAGUAGGGUUCCAGUUCAACAAUAUAAUCUGAGAUCAGCUGAUUCAUAUAUAGACCAUCCUGAUGAUACUUCUUCUUUACAUGAUGAUCUCAAUACUGUUGAUGGACGUUCCGGUGAGAUUAUCGAACCCAUGGUUGACCGCGAUACUAUUACCGAUGAUAACCUAGACAAUGAAGUUGACUCUGCUACUGCUGAACGUAUGCACGAAAGCUACCAGAAUACUAUGCCACUUCAUAAUGUAGGGGUGGAUGGAGGUCAUUCGAGCCUUCUUACUAACGGGCCUUUGAUAAAUGAUAUUUCACCGAUAGAAACUGCAAAAGCAAGAUUUAUGGAUUUCAUUGUCGAUAAUUUCAUUAGCACUCAUGUAGUUGAAGCUACUGAGUCUGAGACUGAUGGUAUAUCACAACCCAUGGAAGAGAAAGUUUGCAAGAGGAAAGGACAAGAUGUUCGAUAUGAAGGCGAUCCGCAGUUUGUCCUGCCAUUGAUGUAUGUGGCAAAUAUGUAUGACACUUUGGUUAAUGAAGUAAAUGUGAGACUUCUUACAUUGAAUGGCUGGCGUGAAAAAUCAUUUGGAGUAGGACUUGAAGCUGCAGGUGGUUUGUAUAGGAAACUUGCAAAAAAAUUUCCAAAAAAAGGCUCAUGUUCAUUCAAAAGACGGGAACUAGCAACGUCUUUUGAAACAAGGUCUAGAUUUCCUGAACUAGUGAUACAGGAGGAGAAGCGAAUUCGAUUUAUUGUGGUCAAUGGUUUGGCUAUUAUCGAGAAACCGACUAUUGCAAAUAUAGAUGAUGCAGAGUGGUUCAAGAGGUUGACUGGUCGAGGUGAUGUAACUGUCUCUCCUUGUGACUACAAGUUUUAUGCUCCGAGACACAAGUAUAGGCGUUCUGGAUCAACCUCUGGUUCAAGUGUUCCUGGUUUUCCUACUUUCCCUGAUGCUGAUAAUUCUUCUCCGAUGUCAAUAAAUCAAGGAUAUCGGUCUCUUACUGAACAGCAGACAUUAUCAAAACAGCAUAUUCCAAGUCUUCCACACCAAGGUCAAUUUGAUAUUGUGAACCAGAACCAUCAAUCUAUGAGUCACGGUCAAAGUGGUCAGUAUUCUCAUCACAACCAAUGUGGUUCGUCGUCACACCUUCCUGAAAUUGGGCACACUCAGGGUUCUGCUUCCCUUUCUCAACAGAUGGCUUGUUUACAACCACUCAGUCACCUUGGAGGGCGCUUGCAUGUACUGCCAACAAGCCUUGCUAAGUUCUGUGAUGAAUGUGGUACUCCGUAUAUGCGUGAGACUUCCAAGUUCUGCUCAGAAUGUGGUACAAAGAGGCUAGGAAUAUGAUGAGCUACAUUUGUGUAUGUCUGUUCUAUCAGUUUAUUUAUACAACCAUUGGGAGGCUAAACCAUAUAUGGUAACAGAGUUUGUAUGUAUAGUUGUAUAAUUGUGAUAGAUCUGAGUAGUGGGUUUUAAGCUUGUAAUCUUUUGUUGUGUUCCAUCUCGAGUUAUUUGGUAGGAACUAUAAAUAUUUGAACACGAGAUGCUUAAAGGAUUAAAUGACCGAGAUUGGUCCACCCUGUAACUGCCUUAGAAAACCCUGAACAUGGAGAAUAGGUCUCUGUUAUAGACCUGCUGGCUAAAAUUAGUUUGCAGUUUUAAAUUAUUCAAGAAUUUCAUUUUGACUUCUUUGAACCUAGAUUUUUUGAAGGUCAUUACUACAAUUCUGUAAUUCUCAAAUUAUAAAACUUGCUAGGGGUACUUUUUAAUUAUGAUUUGUUUAUAAGUAUCAUUAUUAUCAUCAUAAUAUAAGUAUUCAAUAUAAAGGCACAAUAUGAUUUGGGCCAACCUGCCAUAUGAUAGUUAUUGAGAAAUUAUUAAUCCUUCUAACCAAAUAGCCUAAGAGUCCUCCUAAUCAUAAGAUGAUGACAAGUGGUAAAAUCAAAAGAUAAGAUCAGAAAAGAGAAUUAGUGGAAUCCACAUAUCACCAUUUUAUAGUUUUAGGAGGAUUAUAUGUGUUCUGUAUUAGUUAAAUUUGGCAACUCAGUACAACUGAGUUGUCAUGAAUAAAGUGCAUUUGGGCCAAUCUAUCACACAAUGACCGUUGAUUGACCUUGAAAUUUGCAGUACCCCCAAGCCCGAACCCAGAGACACCUUGAACCAGCUACCCAUAACACGUUUCCAGUAGUCCAUUCCUUCUUAACAUGAGGGAACAAGUUAAUUGAUUCCCGAUGGCCUGAUGUUGUUAAGAACCUUCCGCUCUCAUUCAGAAAUAACUUUUAACACCAUUGAAAAAGUAAAAGCUGAUCUGGUGAUAAGGAUUAUAGACGCUGCGACUGAGAUUAAAGGUGUGUUUGACUCACUCUUUGCUACCUUUGUGGUUAAAGAUACAAACGUUUUAGACCACGAACAUCGUUUAGAGCGUGAUAAUGUUAUACAAAAGAUCCGGGACAUUAAAAGAGGACAUUUUAGAAUAAUACAUCAGUAGUACCAAAAGAAGAUAAGAGUGUUGGGUUUGAUUUAAAGGUACGAGAAUUACUUGAUAGACUUGUAGGAGAUCAAAAGCGACUAGAUGUUAUCUCUAGCGUUGGCAUGGGAGGACUUGGUAAGACGACUCUUGCUAAGAGACUUUAUUAUGAAACUUAUGUAGUAUGCCACUUUUAUAAUCGUGGUUGGGUUAUGGUUUGUCAAACGUAUCAGAAGAGGGAUUUGUUGCCUAGCAUAUGCAGUUUUCUUUCGGUCAUGGAUAAAGAUGAAGGCAUGAGCACUGAAAAGUUGCAUGAAGUACAAAUGGUCAAAGGGAAGCGUUAUCUUAUUCUCAUUGAUGAUAUAUGAGAUGUAGAGGUUUGGAACGAUGUAAGGAUCUGUUUGCCCGGUGAUGACCUUGGAUGCAGAGUUUUGUUAACUAGCCAACUAAUGAAUGCGGCCUUGGAUAUGAAACCAGACAGUUCGUCUCAUUUGCUUUGUUUUUUAACUGAGAGAAGUUGGGAUCUAUUGCAACAAAACGUGUUUGCAGAAGAUAAAACUUGCCCUAAAUAUCAAAAGCAAACUGGAAAGCAUAUUGCUGGACGAUGUUGUGGGCUUGCCCUCGAGAAUUUGUGAUAUCCGGGCUUCUUGCAAAGACAGAUAAAUCAGUUGAAUUUGGGACUCGAGUUUUAUUUCAAGUUCGAGUUACAGGACUGUAAAAGUGAACACCAUUACGCCAAAGCGAUAGGAGGAGAUAUGUAUAUAUUGCAAUCUCUUGGUUAUAUUACUUGCAGGAUGGCUACAAAUUACUGUACAAUGAGUCGAUCUUAUUAAAUCAUCAUAUCAAGAGAUGGAGGUACUGCUAUUUCAUGGCGUUCUCAAAAGCAAACAUUCGUUGCAACAUCGUCAAACCAUGCCGAAAUCAUUGCACUCCAUCGUCAAACUAAUUUUGUAUUAUUGUGGGCUGGAAUAUGAAAAAGUCCCAACUCCUAUUUACAAGAUAAUGCAGCUUGUGUCGCAUAGAUGAAAGAAGGAUACAUCAAGAGUGACAUAACAAAACAUAUACCUCCAAGUUUUUUCUCA